ACGGAUAACACACUUGGCCGGGGAAGAUCGUUCUCGAACCCCUCGCGGGCCCUGGAAGAAAUCAGACAACUGCAAACUACUACCCAUAGCCUGAUCCCCAGACUGCCGUUCGGUCGUGUCAUAAGGGAAAUUCUAUUGAAGCAUGGAAACCAUAACAUGCGAGUUUCCCUGGAUGCGCUGUACUGUCUACAGGAAGCCGCCGAAAUUUAUGUCGUCCAACUGUUCGAGGAUUCCUACCGAUGCACUACUCAUCGGGAUCGCGUUACUUUACAGCCGAAGGACAUGAACCUGGCAAUGUAUCUGAGACAUACCUCGCAGGGCAUUUGAAAUGUGUACCGCCGUCAUUGAUUGAUGUUACCGUUAAUUUAAUUUAUUAAUUUGUAUUUUAAUUUAAUCUGUUUUUAAUGAGUUCGUAAUAAGACAAGGAAGAGACUGGUUUUACACCAACUACUUGAACUAAAAAUGUGGAUAUGUUAGUAACAACCUUAUGUACCAGUUCUGAAAACUUCUCUAAUUUCAAGGCAGAUUCAAAACUUAAGAAAACAUUUCUCUGCACUUUUUUCUUCUAAUAAUAAUCUGUACUGGAAUUUACAAUCUAUUAAAAGUAUACUCCCGGGCUUCAAUGUUGAACGAUGUACGUCAGCGUAAUCUUUGUUGCAUUCACAGAUUUGGAAAGAAUGGUUAUUAAAAUACCUGCAACACAGCUGUUUUCGCUAUUUUUGUUAUUUCCACACAGUCUGGUCCGAAACCCUGGUGAGGUGAUGGGGCAAAACAAUCCUCCGACCUUAUAAAGAAUUAUGAUGAGGCACCGAACGGAGCACGCGUAUCACGGAUGAGGAAACAGAAAAUUUCGGAACCGAAAACCUCGACGACCGACGGCCAAAGCCAGACUGGUUUCGCAGCCAGAGUCAGUCCAGUUGGUUAGGAGGAAAACCAUUGACAUUGAUGUAUCCUUUGGGAAAAAGCAACCGAAGGGAUUCAUCUUCAUGGAACUCAGCAUGGAAAAAAGCAUUCAAAGCGUGCGUGGAGGAAAAAUGAGCGCUAUUUUCCACGUUCAUUCCAGAGCAAAGCGGUGGGUGCGGAAAAUCUGCGACUGAUUAGGGUGGUUCGAUUAUUUUUGAUACAUGGACAUGAAUGGUAAGUUAAUUUUUGUUUUGUUUAAAUUAAUUGGAUUAGCAUUUAAACUACGUAUUUAAAAAAUAUGUAAGUCUAUAAUGUCAACUACACAACAUUAUUAAGAAAUU
RNA transcript from Uranotaenia lowii, 1244 nucleotides. RefSeq lists it as uncharacterized. The transcript has 3 exons. NCBI's taxonomy places the organism in Eukaryota, Metazoa, Arthropoda, Insecta, Diptera, Culicidae. The record is from RefSeq and is a predicted model, not a curated record.